This 711-nucleotide long non-coding RNA is filed under the name Taeniopygia guttata (zebra finch). Its description in RNAcentral is "lncRNA (ENSTGUG00000025386.1)". The record is from RNAcentral. Lineage: Eukaryota; Metazoa; Chordata; Aves; Passeriformes; Estrildidae.
GCACCGUGCGGCUCUGGGCGGCACCGGCACCGGCUCCCCACACCGGGCCGCUGCUCGGGCUCGGGCUCGGGCUCGGGCUCGGGCGGGAGGACAGCUGGAAGCAGCCUGGCCAGCUCAGGCGCGGAACCAUUUAGUAAUUCAUAACGUCAGGUCGCAGCUGAGUCAAAGAUAACAGCACCUGGAAAAAGAGAGCAGCGAGCCAGAUGGCAACAAAGACCCAACGUGCGCUUCCAUGGGCAGCGGCGGAGGAGCGUAGGACUCGGCCUGGAUUUCCCCAGGAGAUAGAGCUGGAAGAUACUAGAGAAGCCAAGAAUACUGUCUAGGCUGGGGCCUCUCCUGGAGCACUGCUCACAAGCCAAACAGACAGCAGAGCUAUCAGGGUGCAAGUUCAUUUCCUGAGGCAGUGAGGAGUGCCCACCUGCACCCGCUGUACCGCCUGCGCCUGCCAUGUCCUGAGUGCCCUCCUGCCUCCACCCUGCAGUGUCGGCUGCCCAGCACAGCUGAGCUGCGGGGCUGGGACUCCUUUGCUGGGUGAUGCGGCUUUUCUUAGGAAAAGUUCAAUCUCUACAGGACAGCCCAGGAGGACAGUUUGCUCUUUAAAUGACCCCAAUACACAUAGGACGUAUUGAAGAAAAAAACAUUUGCUCAUGACUAAAUCUCAUUAAAAAAGCAAUUUCCAAUCAAUUACAGUGCAAUUUAGCUGCUAACCGU